This 366-nucleotide long non-coding RNA is filed under the name Mytilus galloprovincialis (Mediterranean mussel). Lineage: Eukaryota; Metazoa; Mollusca; Bivalvia; Mytilida; Mytilidae. The record is from RNAcentral.
AUUUUCACUGAACUAGCAACUUUUUUGUUUAGGGGCCAGCUGAAGCCCGCCUCCGGGUGCAGGAAUUUCUCGCCGCUGUGUUGAUGACUCAUUGGUGGCCUUGGCCCGUUUUCUGCUCUUUAGUCGGGUUGUUGUCUCUUUGACACAUUCCCCAUUUCCAUUUUGAAUUUUAUCAUUAUGUAAAAAAAAAAAAAACACACAAAAAACAGCACGAAAGAAAGGAGUUUCACAACUUAAUAGCUUAUAGAGUAUAGUAUAUCAUAAAAUGAUUUCAAACAAGAGGACAAUUCAAUUAAAACUGUCUUGCAUUUUGCACGACAGAUCGCAUAUCUCUCCUUUCACAAUGGAUAAUAAUUGCAACUACCC